UACCGGGUGGCGACCGGCGCACGGGUGAGUAACGCGUAUGCAACUUGCCUAUCAGAGGGGGAUAACCCGGCGAAAGUCGGACUAAUACCGCAUGAAGCAGGGGCCCCGCAUGGGGAUAUUUGCUAAAGAUUCAUCGCUGAUAGAUAGGCAUGCGUUCCAUUAGGCAGUUGGCGGGGUAACGGCCCACCAAACCGACGAUGGAUAGGGGUUCUGAGAGGAAGGUCCCCCACAUUGGUACUGAGACACGGACCAAACUCCUACGGGAGGCAGCAGUGAGGAAUAUUGGUCAAUGGCCGUAAGNCUGAACCAGCCAAGUCGCGUGAGGGAUGAAGGUUCUAUGGAUCGUAAACCUCUUUUAUAAGGGAAUAAAGUGCGGGACGUGUCCCGUUUUGUAUGUACCUUAUGAAUAAGGCGGCUAACUCCGUGCCAGCAGCCGCGGUAAUACGGAGGCCAGCGUUAUCCGGAUUUAUUGGGUUUAAAGGGUGCGUAGGCGGCCUUUUAAGUCAGCGGUGAAAGUCUGUGGCUCAACCAUAGAAUUGCCGUUGAAACUGGGGGGCUUGAGUAUGUUUGAGGCAGGCGGAAUGCGUGGUGUAGCGGUGAAAUGCAUAGAUAUCACGCAGAACCCCGAUUGCGAAGGCAGCCUGCCAAGCCAUUACUGACGCUGAUGCACGAAAGCGUGGGGAUCAAACAGGAUUAGAUACCCUGGUAGUCCACGCAGUAAACGAUGAUCACUAGCUGUUUGCGAUACACUGUAAGCGGCACAGCGAAAGCGUUAAGUGAUCCACCUGGGGAGUACGCCGGCAACGGUGAAACUCAAAGGAAUUGACGGGGGCCCGCACAAGCGGAGGAACAUGUGGUUUAAUUCGAUGAUACGCGAGGAACCUUACCCGGGUUUGAACGCAUUCGGACCGAGGUGGAAACACCUUUUCUAGCAAUAGCCGUUUGCGAGGUGCUGCAUGGUUGUCGUCAGCUCGUGCCGUGAGGUGUCGGCUUAAGUGCCAUAACGAGCGCAACCCUUGCCACUAGUUACUAACAGGUGAUGCUGAGGACUCUGGUGGGACUGCCAGCGUAAGCUGCGAGGAAGGCGGGGAUGACGUCAAAUCAGCACGGCCCUUACAUCCGGGGCGACACACGUGUUACAAUGGCGUGGACAAAGGGAGGCCACCUGGCGACAGGGAGCGAAUCCCCAAACCACGUCUCAGUUCGGAUCGGAGUCUGCAACCCGACUCCGUGAAGCUGGAUUCGCUAGUAAUCGCGCAUCAGCCAUGGCGCGGUGAAUACGUUCCCGGGCCUUGUACACACCGCCCGUCAAGCCAUGGGAGCCGGGGGUACCUGAAGUCCGUAACCGAAA
This 1351-nucleotide ribosomal RNA is filed under the name Bacteroides sp. Its description in RNAcentral is "bacterial SSU rRNA". It matches the Rfam family "Bacterial small subunit ribosomal RNA", at positions 82 to 1439 of the family's 1533-position model. The record is from RNAcentral. Lineage: Bacteria; Pseudomonadati; Bacteroidota; Bacteroidia; Bacteroidales; Bacteroidaceae. RNAcentral also lists the same sequence under 2 other names.